Molecule: long non-coding RNA, 438 nt
Organism: Lemur catta (Ring-tailed lemur)
Lineage: Eukaryota; Metazoa; Chordata; Mammalia; Primates; Lemuridae
Exons: 3
Source: RefSeq, a predicted model, not a curated record
GAGGGAGAAAGGUAAAGAGACACAAGGGAGAGCGAUUGGAGAGAAGAGAAAGGGACUGAGAAGUUCCCGAUGCCAGGCCAAACACCACCACUGAAUCUGACUUUGAGGACCUGGUUUCCAGAUUUAUUAUCCUGGUAACAGAACUGGAGACAUAGAGUCAGAUGUUCCUCCAUCCACCCAGGGACAGCAAUGUAGACAUAAUUGAUCCUGCCUUCACGCCCUUUUUCUCUUCUAAGGGCCCCCUGAUUUUAUGUAAAAUGUAGAUUUCCUGGGUCUCCCAAGAAUGUAACCAUUUUGCCUCAUCAGCCCCCCACCCCCACCUUUCCCUUUCUCUCCCUAUGCCUUUAACUGCGGAAACUUCCAACUUCCCUUCAGCAAAACAGCCACAGGUCUGCCCACGGUUCAUGUUUUUACAGGGCACCUCCUCAAUUUGGCUCA